Long non-coding RNA from Cornus florida, 10978 nucleotides. RefSeq lists it as uncharacterized. The record is from RefSeq and is a predicted model, not a curated record. Lineage: Eukaryota; Viridiplantae; Streptophyta; Magnoliopsida; Cornales; Cornaceae. The transcript has 7 exons.
UAAUGAACUCCGUUCGUCAGUUGGUAAAUAAUUGUUGUUUAACGUUUGCCUUCUCUCCAGGAAUUAUGGAUUUCUAAUUGUCUAGAGGGAUGCAACAUCCCACUGCCCUCGAGUCCCUGCGGAUCUGCAACUGCCAAGAGCUUGAUUUGUCACUUGGGGAUGAUAAUGGCAUGCAAUUUCAAGGCCUCAGGAACCUAACAUCUCUAGAUAUCAUAGGAUAACUGAAAUUGUAGUCUCUUCUUUCGGGUCCCAACGCAUCGCCACUCUGCAAUCGCUUGCUAUUCUUUUUUUGAACUUUGGAAAUUCGAUAAGUUUAACAAAGUGGAUAGGCAAGCUCACAUCACACCAAAAUUUUUUGUUGUUUAUUGCCUGAAAUGGACAUCACUGCAUGAAGGAGUGUGUUCAAGAACUGCAUAUUAAGGGAAGAUUGGCCUUAGAUUUGCUCAAAUCCCCCGAAGGUUUAAGUGCGACCAUUAUGCCGAAAUAUGGAAGGAUCCAAGAGGCCAGAGGUUCCACAGGGAAAGAAAGCAAGUUUUGUGUACAAGAACUGGAUAUUGAGUAUUGCCCAGAGGAGUUAAAAAGAUUGAUGCUGCGAGGAAAUAGAGGAAAAUUGGCCUGACAUUGCUCAAAUCUUGAAGGUUUAUGUGCGACUGUUAUGCGAACUAUGGAAGGUAUCCAUCUUAAUCUGAAUUAUUAUAUCCACCAUAAAACUCUUCAUCUUGUUUGGUUUUCCACUUUUUGUUCAACUUUUAGUUGAUUCUGUUUGUGUCCGAUACAAAUACACAAGUGGACAGAUAUGUUUCUGUAAUGUUCUUAUAUUAGAAAAUCAUAUAUCAAUUUGAUUUAAUAUUUUGUGACAUGAAAAACAUAAUUACGAUCCUGUAACUUAAAAUUUAAUCUAAUAAUUUAAUUGAUAUUUGAAUUCAACCCUUUUAAAAUAUUUAAGUGUGACAUCUCUUCUAAGAGGUCAGACGUUCCACUGAAAGGAAAGCAAGUUUUGUGUACAAGAACUGACAAUUGGGUAUCGUCUAGAGGAGUUAAAAGAUGGAUGCUGCGAGGAAAUGGAGGACGAUUGUCCUAAGAUUGCUCAAAUCCUGAAGGUUUAUGUACAACUGUUAAGCGGAAAUAUAUAUGGAAGGUAUCCAUCUUAUUCUGAAUAUUAUAUUGACCAUAAAAGCUUCAUCUUGUUCGAUUUUCCUCUCUUUGUUCGACUUCUAAUUGAUUUUGUUUGUGUUCGAUGCAGAUAUAUAAGUGGACAUAUAUGUUUUUAUAAUGUUCUUAUAUUAUUUAUCCUGAAUCAUGUUCUAAUUAUAAUAGAAAAUCAUAUAUCAAUUAGAUUUAAUAUUUUGUGACAUGAAAAACAUAAUUAGGAUCCUGUAACUUGAAUUUUUUCUAAUAAUUUAAUUGAUAUUUGAAUUCAAUCCUUUCAAAAUAAUUGGGUGUGACAUCUCUUCUAAAGGUCAAACAUUCCACAGGAAAAGAAAGCAAGUUUUGUGUACAAGAUCUGGAUAUUGGGUAUUUUCUAGAGGAGUUAAAAAAGACGGAUGCUGCCAGGAAAUGGAGGAAGAUUGGCCUAAGUCUACUCAAAUGUUGAAGGUGUAUGUGCAAUCGUUAUGCCGAAAUAUGGAAGAAAAGAAAGCAAGUCUUGUGUACAAGAACUGGAUAUUGAGUAUUGUCUAUAGGAGUUAAAAGAUGGAUGUUGCGAGGAAAUAGGGGAAGAUUGGCCUAAAAUUGCUCAAAUCCCGAAGGCUUUUCUGCGAAUGUUAUGCCGAAAUAUAGAAGGAUCCAUGAGGUUAGAGAUUCCACAUGAAAAUUAAGAAAGCAAGUUUUGUGUACAAGAAUAUCAAGUAUUUUGUCUAGAGGACCUUAAAGAUUGAUGAUGCUGCGAGGAAGUUUGGCCGAACAUUGCUCAAAUCCUGAAGGUUUAUGCGCGACGGUUAUAUAGAAAUAUUGAAGGAUCCAUGAGGUUAGAGAUUCCACAUGAAAAGAAAGCAAGUUUUGUGUACAAGAAAUAUCGAGGAUUUUGUCUAGAGGAGCUAAAAGACUGAUGUUGCGAGGAAGAUUGGCCUAACGUUGCGAGGAAGAUUGCUCAAAUCUUUGUGUACGACGCAGAAAUAUGGACGGGACUAAAGACUUUCCAGAAGGUUUAAUUGCAAAAUUUGAAGUCUUAAGGACUUUAGGUAAGUUUUUGAAAUUCCUAGUUAUAUUUUGUUGGCCCUUGUCGAGGCUAUUGCAAAUUUAUUGUUUUAUUCAGAGCUUAGGUCAUUGUCGUGGCCAAUUUAAUUUGUUUAAUUAUUAUUGAAUUGAGGAGAACGGGACCAAAUGUAGAUGUAUUGGUGAAGGGUUGUUGUGAUAGUUGUGUUUGAUGGUUGAUGGUAGGAUGUAGAUUAUUGUCUUUACCACAUCUUGAGGAACCAAUUGAUAUCGCUUUACUUGAAAGAACUCUUAGGCAACAAAGAAGGAACAUUAGAGAUCCUGAAAUUUUAAGAGAACUUGAAAUUGAAGUAGAUAAAAUGGCUAAUGAACAUGAUAAUCUCGGAAAUCCUAAUGCUGAAAAUGAAAAUUUAGCACCAAUGACUCUUAGGGACCAUUUUGUACCCUCUACAUACAUAUCUCCAUCAUGCAUUGUCAUGCCUAAUGUUGAGGCCCAUCAUUAUGAGAUCAAAUCUACCACAAUUCAAAUGCUUCCAACAUAUCACGGGUUUGAUAAUGAGGAUCCUUAUAAACAUCUUGAUGAAUUUUUGGAAAUCUGCUCCAUUAUCAAGAUAAGGGAUUUUCCCCAAGAUGUACUUCAUAUGCUUCCCUUCCCAUUCUCUUUGAAAGAUAGAGCAAAAUAUUGGUUGAACUCUCUUGUUGCUAAUUCCAUCACUUCAUGGGUCCAAUUGCAACACGAAUUUCUUAAAAGUAUUAUCCUGUGAGUAAAACCAAUCAAACAUGUUGUUCUAUUCUAAGUUUCUCCCAAAUUGAUGGGGAAAUAUUUUAUGAGACGUGGGAGAGACUUCAAGAUUUUCUGAGGAAGUGUCCGCAUCACCAAAUUCCAAAGUGGCAAUUGGUACAAGCCUUCUAUGAUGGUUUGAUAGAACCACAUAAACAAUUAAUUGAUUCUUCAUGUGGGGGCAUGUUUGUGUCCAAAAAUCCAGAUGAUACAUGGACUCUACUUGAGAACAUAAGCAAAAAUUCUAUGUAACAUGGUUCUCGUAGAGCUUCUACAUCAAAUGUGAUUAAACCCUCAAAUCCAUGUCAAUCACGACCUCUUAGGGAAGAAUCUUCUCAAGUGGAUGCUAUAGCUCACAAAGUUUUUUAGCUUGUGGCACCAUAUCUCUCAUCUUCUCAAAAUUCUUUAUCAAGUGCCAUGUGUGCACAUUGCAUGAGUACUUUCCAUAAUGCAGAAGAUUACCCCACACAGGAGCAAUUUUCUAAAAGUAUGCCAGAAUAGGUAAAUGUCAUGUUCUCUUACCCUGGAAAUAAUCCUUAUUCCAAUACAUACAAUCCGGGUUGGAGAGAUCAUCCAAAUUUGUCGUGGAGGCAACAAGCCCCACAAAAUUCAUCAUUCCAAGGUCAUGGACAAUCAAAUCAAUCUAAUUCUCAGUCCAUGAACCGGCCAUUUCAAGCUUCUUCAAACUAUCGUCCUCCUUCCUGUAAUGCAAAAUUUUCAAAUCAGAAUCAUGUUCCUUCACAACAGUCUCAAUUGGAUAAGUUAAUAAAUUCCAAUAAGCAGAUAAUGGCUACUCUUAGUGGUUUGCAAUCAACUGUGCAAUUGAUUAAUACUUACUCUCAAUUAAUAGCUAAUAUUGAAACCCAACUGGGACAAAUGGCUAAUUCAAUAAAUCCAUUUCACAAACUUCCAACUCAAACUGUAGUGAACCCGAAAGGGCAGUAUAUGAUUAAUGAGAUCACUCCUCCGAGUGGAUCAAAUAUUAAGCAAGUUAAAACAAUCACCACACUUCGGAGUGGAAGAGUUGUGGACAAUAAGGUUUAUGAAAAAGCUGGAAUUCUUACCCCCAAUGAUUCAAGGUAGUUCUCCUAAGGCCAUCAUCGAUUUACUCCAUCAUCACCAUUCUUCAUCUAAAAAUCUAAAAGAUAGUCCAGAAAUUCCAAAUCCGCCAAUCCAAAAUGUUGAGACAUCUUAUGAGCCAAAGGCUCCUUUUCCUCAGUGCCUCAUAGAGUCCACACAUUUUGGGAAAAAGGGCGAUAAAAUUCAGGAUAUGUUUGAAGUCUUUAAGCAAGUAAAGAUCAACAUUCCUCUCCUUGAUGCCAUUAAGCAAAUUCCACCUUAUGCAAAAUUUCUUAAAGAUUUGUGUACUCAAAAACGCAUUUCUAAGAGCAAUAUUCCAAAGAAUGUGAGGUUAACUGAGCAAGCGAGUGCUAUCAUUUAACAUAAUACACCUCCAAAGUUUAAGGAUCCGGGUGCCCUGACAAUCUCAUGUGUCAUUGGAGACAAUGAGAUAGAAAAUGACUUCCUUGACUUAGGAUCAAGUGUAAAUCUGAUUCCUUACUAAGUAUACUUACAGCUUAGCUUAGGAGAACUUAAAUCCACUUCAGUUGUUUUACAACUUGCAGAUAGAUCUGUAAAGCGACCUCUUAGUAUCAUUGAAGAUGUACUUAUCAAGGUGGACAAUUUCUACUUUCUAGUAGACUUUGUGGUUCUAGAUACUGAACCAGUCCAUAAUCCAAUAAAACAUAUCCCUGUGAUCCUUGGUCGGCCUUUCUUAGCCACUGCUAAUGCUUUAAUUAAUUGCCUAAUAAGGGUGAUGGAUAUUUCUUUUGGAAAUAUGAAGGUAAAGCUUAACAUCUUUAGUGCUUCUCAACAUCCUCAAAGGGAAUAUGAGUGUUUCUCUCUUGACAUCAUUGAUGAAAUGGUUGAAGAAUUUCUCUAAUUUAUUUUAAGUCAAGAUCCUCUUGAGACUUGCUUGGCUCAUUUUGACUUUGAAAAUUAUGAUAUUGAUUAAUCCAUUUGUGAGGUCAACACUUUGCUUGAAGCCAAUGUAAUCUCGGACUUUCCUCCUUGGAAAGUGCCAAAUGAAUCUCUUCUAUUAAUUUCCAACACUCCUUCUGUCCCUUAAUUCAUUGAAAUCUCCACCUUAACUUGAGUUAAAGCUACUUCCGGUCAAUCUCAAGUAUGUAUUUCUUGGUGUAAACAAAACUCUUCCGGUCAUCAUUGCAUCGAAUCUUUCAAAAGAUCAAGAAAAUAGCCUUCUAGCAGUGCUACAAGAGCACAAAGAAGCUAUUGGUUGGUCGGUGGCUGAUUUAAAAGGAAUUAACCCUUCUAUUUGCAUGUACCGCAUUCUUUUGGAUGAAGAAGCUAAACCUUCCCAAGAGGUGCAGCGUCGGUUGAAUCCAAACAUAAAAGAGGUUGUCAUGAAAGAGAUAAUUAAGCUAUUAAAUGCGGGAAUCAUUUACCCAUCUUGGAUAGCAAGUGGGUGAGUCCAACUCAAGUUGUUCCAAAAAAGUCUGGCCUCACUGUUGUUAAAAAUUCAACGGGAAAACUCGUGCCACAACAUACUACCACUAGUUGGCGUGUGUGCAUUGAUUACAGGAAAUUAAGCUCUGUAACUAGGAAAGAUCAUUUUCCACUCCCAUUCAUUGAUCAAAUCCUAGAGAGAUUAGCUGGUUAGAGUUACAAUUGUUUUCUUGAUGGUUAUUCUGGUUAUAACCAAGUGGCUAUAGAUCCUCACGAUCAAGAGAAGACCAUCUUCACUUGUCCUUUUGGAACUUUCGCUUAUCAUCGCAUGCCCUUUGGGUUGUGCAAUGCGUCGGCCACUUCUCAAAGAUGCAUGAUAUCCAUAUUUUCUAAUAUGGUCGAAAAAUUUCUUAAAGUAUUCAUGGAUGAUUUUUCUGUCUUUGGAUCUUCUUUUGACUCUUGUCUUCAUAAUCUGUCACUCGUCCUUCAAAGAUGCAAAGAAUCCAAUCUGAUUUUAAGUUGGGAAAAGAGUCACUUUAUGGUAUAAGAAGGGAUUGUAUUGGGACAUAUUAUCUCUAAAAGAGGGAUUGAGGUCGAUAAGGCAAAAGUUGAAUUAAUUUAUAGCCUUUCUACUCUCUCUUCAGUGAGACAAAUUCGAUCUUUUCUUGGUCAUACAGGCUUUUACCGCCAUUUCAUUAAAGAUUUUAGUAAGAUAUCUCGAGGCUUUUACCGCCAUUUCAUUAAAGAUUUUAGUAAGAUAUCUCGACCUUUAUGCCAUCUUCUUGAAAAGGACACUAACUUUGACUUUGAUGAAGCAUGUUUGGAAGCUUUUAAGAAGCUUCGUUCGCUACUUUCUUCUACCCCAGUCAUGAAACCACCUAACUGGUUUCUCCCCUUUGAGAUCAUGUGUGAUGCAUCCGAUUAUGCAUUAGGUGCUGUUUUGGGCCAGCGUGUGGAUAAAACUCCUCACGCUAUUUACUAUGCUAGUAAGACUUUGUCAGAUGCUUAAAUGAAUUAUACAACAACUGAGAAAGAAUUGCUAGCAGUUGUCUAUGCCUUGGAUAAAUUCCAUUCAUAUCUGCUUGGAUCCAAGGUUAUCAUUUUCACGGAUCAUGCGCAUUAAGACAUCUACUUACGAAGAAAGAGACCAAACCUCACCUCAUUCAUUGGAUACUCUUACUCCAAGAAUUCAAUAUUGAGAUUAAGGACAAAAAAGGAACUGAUAAUGUAGUUGCAGACCAUCUUUCUAGGCUUCUUAUUGAGAACACUUCUGAUUUAUAUUCAGUUCAUGACUCCGUUUUUGGAUGAACAAUUGUUCCAGAUUUCUCAUGAGUCACCUCCUUGGUUUGCUGAUAUUGUCAACUAUCUUACGGUUGGAAAAACUCCAUCAAAAUGGUCUAAACAAGAGAAAGACUGGUUCUUCGCUCAAAUCAAAAAUUUCUUUUGGGAAGACCCGAAAUUGUUCAAGUAUUGCACGGAUCAAAUAAUCCGGAGAUGUAUUCCUGAAUUUGAAGUCCAAAACAUUUUGAAAUUCUGCCACACUCUUGAAUAUGGAGGACAUUUCAGUGCCAAAAAGACUUCAUAUAAAGUCCUUCAGAGUGGAUUUUAUUGGCCUUCAUUAUUCAGGGAUGCUUAUAACUUUUGCAAGUCUUGUACGCAAUGUCAAAAGCUUGGGGCUAUGUCUAAAAGGGAUAUGAUGAUAUUGAACUCCAUUUUAAUCAUCGAAAUCUUUGAUGUCUGGGGAAUAGAUUUUAUGGGACCAUUUCCAUCUCCAUAUGGUUAUAUCUACAUUCUCCUAGCAGUGGAUUAUGUAUCUAAGUGAGAAGAAGCUGAGGCAACCAUAACCAACGACCAUACUGCAGUGGUCCAGUUCAUUCAAAAGAAUAUAUUCAGUCGAUUUGGCAUACCUCGAGCACUCUUAAGUGAUGGAGGAUCUCAUUUUUGCAAUCGUUAUUUUCGAUCUGUUCUCCUUAAAUACUCUAUCAGUUAUAAGGUUGUCACGCCUUACCAUCCUCAAUCAAGUGGUCAAGUGGAAGUUUUUAAUCGGGAAAUCAAGCAUAUUCUUGAAAAAAUGGUUCGACCGGACCGCAAAGAUUGGUCAUUACGACUAAAUGAUGCACUUUGGGCCUACCAAACUGCGUUUAAGAUGUCAAUUGGCAUGUCACCAUACUGGAUUGUUUACGGUAAGGCAUGUCAUCUUCCGGUUGAAUUAGAACAUCAUGCAUUUUGGGCCAUUAAAUGGUUUAAUUUUAAUCUUGAUCAGGCUGGCUCUAACAGAAAAUUACAGCUCAAUGAGAUAGAUGAAAUCCGGAAUGAGGCUUAUGCAAAUGCAAAAAUUUAUAAAGCAAAGACCAAAGCAUUCCAUGAUAAACAUAUCACUAAGAAGUCUUUUACUUCAGGUCAAAAAGUUUAGCUUUUCAAUUCCAGAUUGUAACUUUUCCCAGGGAAACUUCGAUCACGCUGGGAAGGUCCUUUUCUGAUCACUUCUGUAUUCUCUUAUUGUGCAGUUGAGCUGAAAGACCUGAAGAAUGGGAAUCUUUUUUAAGGUUAAUGGUCAGCAGCUUAAGCCUUACAUUGAUAACUUAGUCCUGGUUGGAUAUAUGGAUUCUAUUAUCUUAACAGAUCCAAUUUAUAAAGACUAAAAGGAUUCCCAUAAUGUUUAGCUAUCGACAUUAAAUUUAGCAUUCCAAGGAAGCAAUUCUUUCUAUUCUAAGCUUCUUUCUCUACUUGUUAUCAUAAACCAAAAAUUCUCUACAAAUGGUUAAAUAGAAUUCCCACUUCAUAUUCUUUAAGAAUCAUUUACAUGUCCAUUCAAGUGGCCAUAGUGGGUCUCUAUAGUCAUACAACGGUUUGAUAACAUUUUUGGGUGUCUUUGAUCAGCAAUUCACAAAAGCUACAGUAGCACUCGCGUUCGGACGCCAUCCCUAGCAUCCGAAAGCCAAUUAUAGCCUCAUCUCGCGUCCUGACGCCACCACCGACGUCCAGACGCCGACACCUGAUGCUUCUCGCGUCCGGACGCCACCACCAGCAUCCGGACGCCAAUGCAGCACCUUCAACCCUCAGCGCCCACAAUCGAGCAUUCAGCGCCCCACUACAGUUCGUGUCCGGACGCCAUGGCUUGCGUCUAGACGAGAAGGCCUAUUUGAAGGGACCUGAGUCCAGUCUUAUGUUUAUAACUUGCUACCCUCUUUUUACAAUUGCAUAUCCUCAUUUCCAUCCUCAAACCCUACGUGUAAAACCUUCCAACCCUACCUUACCCACCUUCUCUAAUUUGUCUUUAACCUUCCCAAUCUCCAUUUUUCAUCAAAUAAUCCUCUUUCAUCAUCCUCCUCCAUCAUCAUCAUUCAAUCAAAGAGGGCAAGGUUUCCAUCUCCAAAUUGAGGUAAGUUCUUUCCUUUUCAAUCUUUCAAUUCUAGAAUUAUUCAUAGAGAUGAAGGUUAGAACUUAAUCAUGUGGGAAAUUAAUUCUAUUUAAAGUGAAGAAAGGUUGUGUUUUCAUUCUAGAUCCACGAUUGUAGAUUCAAAUAAUCUAAUCUUCACAAGUGUUCUCUACUUUUCAGUCUUGCACACCAUGUGUUCGACAAAAGUCCUGAACCAACUUCUUUCACUCAAAUGGCUUCUUCUUCUGCUUCUAAGCGCCCUCCUGUCUCGAAUGACUCUUAUGAAGACACUCCUACUCCGGAUUGGUCUAAAUGGCCUCUUCAAUUUGAAACUACAUUUGAUGUUAGGAAUGUCUUUCGUAGACAUGUUGAUACAGACUGGCAGUAAAAAAUCUUAGGAAACGGGGAUUAACAUCCAUUUUUCAGCCAUGUCAUAAUGUGGUUCAUCCUCGUUUAGUUCGUCAGUUUUACUAGAAUCUUUCAAACAAACUGCAGGAACCAACCAAGGUUUUCACUGAAAUUGAUGGCACCAUGUGUUUGGUUACAUUAGAGGAUAUUGUGGAUGUCUAAUCGACUCACCAAUCGAUGUGGACGGUUAACCUCUCUUUGCUCAUCUACCAGAUAUUAUUGAUUUAUUAGAUGACCUCACCGAUGUUUUGAAAGAAGUAGCGUAUAGUAAUCUCAAAAGUUUAGAUAGCACUUCCCCUAAAAGAUCUUUCGUUCCACCCCGAAUUUGGUUCAUUGAGGUUUUACUGGCUACAAAUGUUCUUCCAAUUGGGAAACCUACAGCAAAUAACAGUGUUCUUUUGGAUUGUCUUUCUUCCACAGAGAAUGAAUUUUGGUUUUCAGUUCCCACUUUGAUUAUGAAUCAAAUCCUAAAGGUUUAUAACAAAUUGAUUGUCCGCAGAAAGGAAAGUUCUAUGACUUGGUCAUUUCCAUUUCCUUAUCUCAUCACGAAGCUGAUUAAGAACCAAGGGUUGGUUAUUCCAUCUAAUGAGAAGCGGGAAACUAUAAAGAAGGUUUACAAUUUCAAAGAUUGGAAGGAGCAACUUCUUGCUCGAACUGGUGAAAUCGAUGGAUGAUCAUGCUCCAAACGGAGCCGACACUUCACCCUCCAAUUUGUAGGGUGAACUGGAUCUCUUUAGUUUUAUUUAGUCGUGUUAUUUACUUUUGUUUUGUGUGAUUUGAAUAAUUUUAGGACUUGGGCCAUGUUUGGCAUGACAUUUGUGGGUGCACUUUUUGAUGUGCAUAUAUUUUGGUUUUCUUUCCCAGUUUUGAAUAAAGUAUGACGUAGUACUUUAUAUUUAUAUCUUUAUAAAUGUCUAUGCUUUUAUGCUUGGUGUAUAGUUUUUUCUGAACAGAUUAUUAGGUCCAAGUUUAGGGGAAGAUAUUUCGCUGUUUCACUACCAAUGGUUGCACUGAAGUCCAAGAUUCGCACUUGGCCUUAUUGCUAAUAAGGAAUAAGAAUAAAGUUUUAAAGGGUUUUUGAAGCACAAGUCAUAUCAGGCCUACAUUCCAAGUGAUCAUCAAAUGAAAAUGACAUGAAGAGGCGAUGGAAAUAACUGGAGCUAAAGAGAGAAGCUUGUGUCAGAGUAGAAAGCCUAGCAUUCGGAUGCAAGAAAUGGCAUCCCGACGCCAUCCUCCAGCAGCUCGCUUCCAGACACCCAUUCUGGCGUCCAGAUGCCACAUCCUUCAACAGCUCAUGUCCAGACACCAUUCUUCGCUUCCGGACAUGAGCCCACGGGCCCCCAUUUUAUUUAAGUUCAAUUUUGUCUAUCUUGAGUUGGGAUUCGAAUUUAAAAUGUGGGAUUUGGUAUUUUAAACUCACGGGAGGAUAAAAGAGGGGGAGAGGCUGGAAGAAAGGAGUCUUGAUUUUGUUUUGGGAUAAAGAUAGAGGAGAGGGAGGAUUUUUAGGGUUCUUGGAGGCUGAGCUUGCAACAAUGGUGAGAGAGGGGAAUUCUUUCUCUUCUUCAAUCAUGGAGGUUGUUGCCAUAUUCAUGAGAGGCUAAACCCCUUCUCUAGGGAGUUGAUGUAGCCUAGGCCAAGUAAACAUGUUUUGAUUUGUAUUUCAAUUUGGGGAUGAUUAUAGUAUAUAUUCAGUUUCAAUCAUGGAGGUUGUUACAUUGACUUGAUGUAUGUUGCAUUGAAUUGAUGCAUGUGUUAUCAUAUGAAUAUAUGUUCGAGUUGAUUUGUUUUCU